This 346-nucleotide ribosomal RNA is filed under the name Salmonella enterica subsp. enterica serovar Infantis. Its description in RNAcentral is "partial 16S ribosomal RNA". It matches the Rfam family "Bacterial small subunit ribosomal RNA", at positions 1 to 345 of the family's 1533-position model. The record is from RNAcentral. RNAcentral also lists the same sequence under 1 other name. Lineage: Bacteria; Pseudomonadati; Pseudomonadota; Gammaproteobacteria; Enterobacterales; Enterobacteriaceae.
AAAUUGAAGAGUUUGAUCAUGGCUCAGAUUGAACGCUGGCGGCAGGCCUAACACAUGCAAGUCGAACGGUAGCACAGAGAGCUUGCUCUCGGGUGACGAGUGGCGGACGGGUGAGUAAUGUCUGGGAAACUGCCUGAUGGAGGGGGAUAACUACUGGAAACGGUGGCUAAUACCGCAUAACGUCGCAAGACCAAAGAGGGGGACCUUCGGGCCUCUUGCCAUCAGAUGUGCCCAGAUGGGAUUAGCUUGUUGGUGAGGUAACGGCUCACCAAGGCGACGAUCCCUAGCUGGUCUGAGAGGAUGACCAGCCACACUGGAACUGAGACACGGUCCAGACUCCUACGGG